Molecule: ribosomal RNA, 607 nt
Filed under: Candida albicans
Lineage: Eukaryota; Fungi; Ascomycota; Pichiomycetes; Serinales; Debaryomycetaceae
Description: eukaryotic LSU rRNA
Rfam family: 5.8S ribosomal RNA (bases 149-302)
Source: RNAcentral
GAUCAUUACUGAUUUGGCUUAAUGGCACCACAUGUGUUUUUCUUUGAAACAAACUUGCUUUGGCGGUGGGCCCAGCCUGCCGCCAGAGGUCUAAACUUGCAACCAAUUUUUUAUCAACUUGUCACACCAGAUUAUUACUAAUAGUCAAAACUUUCAACAACGGAUCUCUUGGUUCUCGCAUCGAUGAAGAACGCAGCGAAAUGCGAUACGUAAUAUGAAUUGCAGAUAUUCGUGAAUCAUCGAAUUUUUGAACGCACAUUGCGCCCUCUGGUAUUCCGGAGGGCAUGCCUGUUUGAGCGUCGUUUCUCCCUCAAACCGCUGGGUUUGGUGUUGAGCAAUACGACUUGGGUUUGCUUGAAAGACGGUAGUGGUAAGGCGGGAUCGCUUUGACAAUGGCUUAGGUCUAACCAAAAACAUUGCUUGCGGCGGUAACGUCUACCACGUAUAUCUUCAAACUUGACCUCAAAUCAGGUAGGACUACCCGCUGAACUUAAGCAUAUCAAUAAGCGGAGGAAAAGAAACCAACAGGGAUUGCCUCAGUAGCGGCGAGUGAAGCGGCAAAAGCUCAAAUUUGAAAUCUGGCGUCUUUGGCGUCCGAGUUGUAAUU